AAAGCACUUUCAGUCAGGAGGAAAGCGUGGUGGUUAAUACCCAUCAUGUGUGACGUUACUGACAGAAGAAGCACCGGCUAACUCCGUGCCAGCAGCCGCGGUAAUACGGAGGGUGCGAGCGUUAAUCGGAAUUACUGGGCGUAAAGCGUACGCAGGCGGUUUGUUAAGCGAGAUGUGAAAGCCCCGGGCUCAACCUGGGAACUGCAUUUCGAACUGGCAAACUAGAGUGUGAUAGAGGGUGGUAGAAUUUCAGGUGUAGCGGUGAAAUGCGUAGAGAUCUGAAGGAAUACCGAUGGCGAAGGCAGCCACCUGGGUCAACACUGACGCUCAUGUACGAAAGCGUGGGGAGCAAACAGGAUUAGAUACCCCGGUAGUCCACGCCGUAAACGAUGUCUACUAGAAGCUCGGAGCCUCGGUUCUGUUUUUCAAAGCUAACGCAUUAAGUAGACCGCCUGGGGAGUACGGCCGCAAGGUUAAAACUCAAAUGAAUUGACGGGGGCCCGCACAAGCGGUGGAGCAUGUGGUUUAAUUCGAUGCAACGCGAAGAACCUUACCUACACUUGACAUACAGAGAACUUACCAGAGAUGGUUUGGUGCCUUCGGGAACUCUGAUACAGGUGCUGCAUGGCUGUCGUCAGCUCGUGUUGUGAGA
RNAcentral lists this ribosomal RNA (652 nucleotides) under Salinibacterium sp. NSLL16. Its description in RNAcentral is "bacterial SSU rRNA". It matches the Rfam family "Bacterial small subunit ribosomal RNA", at positions 427 to 1072 of the family's 1533-position model. The record is from RNAcentral. Lineage: Bacteria; Bacillati; Actinomycetota; Actinomycetes; Micrococcales; Microbacteriaceae.